This 377-nucleotide unclassified non-coding RNA is filed under the name uncultured Actinomycetes bacterium. RNAcentral describes it as "uncultured actinobacterium contains 16S-23S intergenic spacer region". Lineage: Bacteria; Bacillati; Actinomycetota; Actinomycetes. The record is from RNAcentral.
UCCGAGUUGACCCCGGCAGUCUCCUAUGAGUCCCCGGCCGAACCGCUGGCAACAUAGAACGAGGGUUGCGCUCGUUGCGGGACUUAACCCAACAUCUCACGACACGAGCUGACGACAACCAUGCACCACCUGUAUACCGACCUUGCGGGGCGACUGUUUCCAGACGUUUCCGGUAUAUGUCAAGCCUUGGUAGGGUUCUUCGCGUUGCAUCGAAUUAAGCCACAUGCUCCGCCGCUUGUGCGGGCCCCCGUCAAUUCCUUUGAGUUUUAGUCUUGCGACCGUACUCCCCAGGCGGAGUGCUUAAUGCGUUAGCUGCGGCACAGAAAGGGUUGAAGACCUCCCCACACCUAGCACUCAACGUUUACGGCUGGGACUAC